GAGGGUAGAGCCUAAUGGUAGAGUGUGUGCCUAGCCUGCACAAGGUCCUGGGUUCAAUCCCCAGCACCUCCA
This 72-nucleotide transfer RNA is filed under the name Camelus bactrianus (Bactrian camel). It matches the Rfam family "tRNA". From Rfam's summary of the family: Transfer RNA (tRNA) molecules are approximately 80 nucleotides in length. Their secondary structure includes four short double-helical elements and three loops (D, anti-codon, and T loops). The record is from Rfam by way of RNAcentral. RNAcentral also lists the same sequence under 2 other names. Lineage: Eukaryota; Metazoa; Chordata; Mammalia; Artiodactyla; Camelidae.